UACGAGGGAUCCUAGCGUUGUUCGGAAUCAUUGGGCGUAAAGCGCACGUAGGCGGCUUGCCAAGUCGGACGUGAAAUCCCUCAGCUCAACUGAGGACGUGCAUCCGAAACUGGCGAGCUUGAGUGCUGAAGAGGAUCGCGGAAUUCCCGGUGUAGAGGUGAAAUUCGUAGAUAUCGGGAGGAACACCAGUGGCGAAGGCGGCGAUCUGGGCAGACACUGACGCUGAGGUGCGAAAGCGUGGGGAGCAAACAGG
Molecule: ribosomal RNA, 253 nt
Filed under: uncultured bacterium
Lineage: Bacteria
Description: partial 16S ribosomal RNA
Rfam family: Bacterial small subunit ribosomal RNA
Source: RNAcentral